Long non-coding RNA from Molossus molossus (Pallas's mastiff bat), 356 nucleotides. RefSeq lists it as uncharacterized. NCBI's taxonomy places the organism in Eukaryota, Metazoa, Chordata, Mammalia, Chiroptera, Molossidae. The record is from RefSeq and is a predicted model, not a curated record. The transcript has 3 exons.
AGACAAGAUUGUCCUAAAAUUGGAAAAGUGAAGGAAAUAAAAUAACUAAAACUAUUUUGAAAAAGAAGAAUAAAGUGGAAGGAGUCAGUCUAUCUGAUUUUAAGAGUUUCAGAGUAGAGUUGAAUGGUUUGCACAAAGAAGCAGAAUAUGUAUUGCUGAAAAUACAUUUUAAUCUCAUCUGAAAGAGUGAAUAAGGAGGAAGUCAUAGCAAUAACAGGACAAAGAAGAGAAGCUGAAUUAUCUGACUGUUGAAGUUCAGGAAAAAGUUAUGAUUGCUGAAGAUGCGUCUCUGCCCUAAAUACAGUGCACAGAAGAAAUGGACCCUAAUGUUGAGCUCCUUCCUGUUGAUUUCAAGG